GCCAGACUCCUACGGGAGGCAGCAGUGGGGGAUAUUGCACAAUGGGGGAAACCCUGAUGCAGCGACGCCGCGUGAGGGAAGACGGCCUUCGGGUUGUAAACCUCUGUCGCAGGGGACGAAGGAAGUGACGGUACCCUGUGAGGAAGCCACGGCUAACUACGUGCCAGCAGCCGCGGUAAUACGUAGGUGGCGAGCGUUGUCCGGAAUUACUGGGUGUAAAGGGAGCGUAGGCGGGAGUGCAAGUCAGAUGUGAAAACUAUGGGCUCAACCCAUAGCCUGCAUUUGAAACUGUAUUUCUUGAGUGCUGGAGAGGCAAUCGGAAUUCCGUGUGUAGCGGUGAAAUGCGUAGAUAUACGGAGGAACACCAGUGGCGAAGGCGGAUUGCUGGACAGUAACUGACGCUGAGGCGCGAAAGCGUGGGGAGCAAACAGGAUUAGAUACCCCUGUA
This 448-nucleotide ribosomal RNA is filed under the name uncultured bacterium. RNAcentral describes it as "bacterial SSU rRNA". It matches the Rfam family "Bacterial small subunit ribosomal RNA", at positions 330 to 792 of the family's 1533-position model. The record is from RNAcentral.